RNAcentral lists this ribosomal RNA (468 nucleotides) under uncultured bacterium. RNAcentral describes it as "partial 16S ribosomal RNA". It matches the Rfam family "Bacterial small subunit ribosomal RNA", at positions 28 to 507 of the family's 1533-position model. The record is from RNAcentral.
GACGAACGCUGGCGGCGUGCUUAACACAUGCGAGUCGAACGGAAAGGCCCUGCUUUUGUGGGGCGCUCGAGUGGCGAACGGGUGAGUAAAACGUGAGUAUCCCCCACUUGACUUUGGGAUAUCAUCUCGAAAAUGGGGCUAAUAUCGCAUAGGAGCUCUUGCUGCAUGGUGUGGGUUGGAAAGUUUCGGCUGUUGGGGAUUUAAUCGCGGCUUCUCCGCUUGUUGGUGGGGUUGUGGCUUACCAAGGUUUCGACGGGUAGCCGGCCUGAGAGGGUGACCGGCCACAUGGGGACUGAGAGACGGACCAGACGCCUACGGGAGGCAGCAGUGGGAAAUAUUACAGAAUGGGCGGAAGCGUGAUGCAGCAACGCCGCGUGCGGGAUGACGGCUUACGGGGGAUAAACCGCUUUCGCCUGAGACAAGGCGGGAGUGACGGUAAUGGAUAAGAAAGCACCGGCUAACUACGUG